RNAcentral lists this long non-coding RNA (1552 nucleotides) under Homo sapiens (human). RNAcentral's name for it is "HSALNT0094342". Lineage: Eukaryota; Metazoa; Chordata; Mammalia; Primates; Hominidae. The record is from RNAcentral.
AAACGGCAGUAGCUACAUGCAAUGUCAUGGAUGAAUCUCAAGAUAUUUAUCCUGAGUGAAAGAAACCAGACCAAAAAAGAAAGGUGUAUGUAUAUUGUAUGACUCCCAUUUAUAUGAAAUUUUAGAAACUACAAACUAAUUCAUAGUGUUACUGGCAGGUGCCCUGGAUUCUUGCAAUCCCCCAGUAUAGAAAUCAAGAGAGAUCACCAAACAUAGCAGCAAAGGAAACUUUAUUCAGCUUGUGCACAAGAAGCCAGCACCAUGAAAGCAAAAGGAAUGGGCUGCCUCCUGAGGGUAGCGUGUGGAUUAGUUUUAAUGAGUCUCUCUCUAGGGAAGGGUUGGGUCAGGGCAUGUAUGGGAGGGUUUUUUCUAGCACUUGCACAGUGGCUCUACAUGCUUCUUCAUACAUCCUAUGUAGCAUUAGCAUUUUAAAUCUUCAUGCCCUGGGUGUGAUUGUUAGCACUGAAAUGAGGAAGGGGUAACUGUAGGUUGGAGAUGAUGUCUAACUGCACAUGCAGAGCCCUGGGGAAGUCCCUAGCUCCCUGAGGGAGGAAGUUGUUUUUAACAGUUUCUUAGGCGUUUUGUUACUAAUUGGCUGAGAGGUAAGCUAGCACUUAAGCUUAAGGGGCUUUUGUUCUUUUCCUCCAGACCACAUUAAAACGGAACCAACCCGCCUAUCUGUCUCAACAGUGACAGAAAGCAGAACAGUGGUUUCCAAGAGAUGAGGGCAGGGGGACAGGUGGGUGAGAGGAAUUAAAAAUGAGCAUGAGGAAAUUUGGAGAGGAUGUUAUAGUUUGGAUAUUUGCUACCCUCAAAUCUCAUGUUGAAAUGUAAUCCCAUUGUUGGAGGUGGGGACUGGUAGGAGGUGUUUGGAUCACAGGCAUGGAUCCCUCAUGCAUGGCUUAGCACCAUCACCUUGGUGAUGAGUGUGUUCUCGCUCUGGUAGUUCAUGAGAGACCUAGUUGUUUAAAACAGCUUGGCACGUCUCCCCAUCUCUGUUGCUCCUGCUCUUGCCCUGUGAUAAGCCGGCUCCCUCUUCAUCUUCUUUCAUGAGGCCUCAUCAGAAGUGGAGCAGAUGCUGGUGUCAUGCUUGCACAGCCUGCAGAAUGACCUACAACCAGAUUUAAAUCACAGCAGGCCUCAGGAGGUCAGUUACCAAGUGUGACCUAUGAGAAGGAACUAAACACACCAAAAAAAAAGAUAAUUAUUUUUCAGAAACAUUUUCUGACUGGGCGUGGCAGCUUAUGCAUGUAAUUCCAGCUACUCAGGAGGCUAAGAUGGGAGUAUCACUUGAGCCCAGGAUGUCAAGGCUGCAGGGAGCCAUGAUCACACCACUGCACUCCAGCCGGGGCAACAGAGCGAGACCUUGUAUCAAAAAAGAAAAAAAGAAAUAUUUUUCUAUAACUCAAGGCCUUAAGGUUGCUUAUCCUCCUGUUUAUUGUGUUUGGAGGGACUGUAAUCUAAUUUUAUAUGUUUUGUUGUUUUUUUAUUGUGUAUUUUGAGUGACUUUGCCAUUUUUUAUUGUGAACCUAGCUUCAGUGUAAAAUUCAUG